This 465-nucleotide ribosomal RNA is filed under the name uncultured bacterium. RNAcentral's name for it is "partial 16S ribosomal RNA". It matches the Rfam family "Bacterial small subunit ribosomal RNA", at positions 28 to 507 of the family's 1533-position model. The record is from RNAcentral.
GACGAACGCUGGCGGCGUGCUUAACACAUGCAAGUCGAACGGAAAGGCCCCUUUGGGGGUACUCGAGUGGCGAACGGGUGCGUAACACGUGAGUAACCUGCCCUUGACUUCGGGAUAACUUCAGGAAACUGGGGCUAAUACCGGAAAGGAAUCCUUGCUGCAUGGUGGGGGUUGGAAAGCUUCGGCGGUUUUGGAUGGACUCGCGGCAUAUCAGCUUGUUGGUGGGGUAGUGGCUUACCAAGGCUUUGACGGGUAGCCGGCCUGAGAGGGCGACCGGACACAUUGGGACUGAGAUACGGCCCCGACUCCUACGGGAGGCAGCAGUGGGGAAUAUUGCCCAAUGGGCGGAAGCCGGAUGCAGCAACGCCGCGUGCGGGAUGACGGCCUUCGGGUUGUAAACCGCUUUCAGCAGGGGCGAAGCUUGUGGUGACGGUACCUGCAGAAGAAGCACCGGCUAACUACGUG